UACGUAGGGUGCGAGCGUUAAUCGGAAUUACUGGGCGUAAAGAGCGUGUAGGCGGCCAAGCAGGUCCGUUGUGAAAACUGGAGGCUCAACCUUCAGAGGUCGACCGAAACCAUCUGGCUAGAGUCCGGGAGAGGAGAGUGGAAUUCCUGGUGUAGCGGUGAAAUGCGCAGAUAUCAGGAAGAACACCCGUGGCGAAAGCGGCUCUCUGGAACGGUACUGACGCUGAGACGCGAAAGCGUGGGGAGCGAACAGG
Molecule: ribosomal RNA, 253 nt
Filed under: uncultured bacterium
Lineage: Bacteria
Description: partial 16S ribosomal RNA
Rfam family: Bacterial small subunit ribosomal RNA
Source: RNAcentral